This 378-nucleotide unclassified non-coding RNA is filed under the name plant metagenome. RNAcentral's name for it is "partial contains 5.8S ribosomal RNA, internal transcribed spacer 2, and large subunit ribosomal RNA". The stretch from base 1 to 105 matches the Rfam family "5.8S ribosomal RNA", at positions 50 to 154 of the family's 154-position model. The record is from RNAcentral.
GAAAUGCGAUAAGUAAUGUGAAUUGCAGAAUUCAGUGAAUCAUCGAAUCUUUGAACACACCUUGCGCUCCUUGGUAUUCCUUGGAGCAUGCCUGUUUGAGUAUCAUGAAAUCUUCAAAGUAAAUCUUUUGUUAAUUCAAUUGGUUUCUACUUUGGUAUUGGAGGUCUUUGCAGCUUCACACCUGCUCCUCUUUGUUCAUUAGCUGGAUCUCAGUGUUAUGCUUGGUUCCACUCGGCGUGAUAAGUUAUCUAUCGCUGAGGACACUGUAAAAGGUGGCCAAGGUAAAUGCAGAUGAACCGCUUCUAAUAGUCCAUUGACUUGGACAAUACUUUUAUGAUCUGAUCUCCAAUCAGGUAGGACUACCCGCUGAACUUAAGC